GACGGAGGAUGCAAGUGUUAUCCGGAAUCACUGGGCGUCAAGCGUCUGUAGGUGGUUUAAAAAGUCUACUGUUAAAAAUUGAAGCUUAACUUCAAAGAUGCCGUAGAAACUUUUAAACUCGAGGAUGGUAGGGGUAGAGGGAAUUUCCAGUGGAGCGGUGAAAUGCGUAGAUCUUGGAAAGACCACCAAUGGCGAAGGCACUCUACUGGGCCAUUACUGAGACUAAGAGACGAAAGCUAGGGGAGCAAAUGGG
This 253-nucleotide ribosomal RNA is filed under the name uncultured bacterium. RNAcentral describes it as "partial 16S ribosomal RNA". It matches the Rfam family "Bacterial small subunit ribosomal RNA", at positions 524 to 776 of the family's 1533-position model. The record is from RNAcentral.